RNAcentral lists this ribosomal RNA (460 nucleotides) under uncultured bacterium. RNAcentral describes it as "partial 16S ribosomal RNA". It matches the Rfam family "Bacterial small subunit ribosomal RNA", at positions 338 to 795 of the family's 1533-position model. The record is from RNAcentral.
CCUACGGGCGGCAGCAGUGAGGAAUAUUGGUCAAUGGGCGCGAGCCUGAACCAGCCAAGUCGCGUGAGGGAUGAAGGUUCUAUGGAUCGUAAACCUCUUUUAUAAGGGAGUAAAGUGUGGGACGUGUCCUAUUUUGUAUGUACCUUAUGAAUAAGGAUCGGCUCACUCCGUGCCAGCCGCCUCGGUAAUACGGAGGAUCCGAUCGUUAUCCGGAUUUAUGGGGUUUAAAGGGUGCGUAGGCGGCCGUUUAAGUCAGCGGUGAAAGUCUGUGGCUCAACCAUUGAAUUGCCGUUGAUACUGGGGGGCUUGAGUAUGUUUGAGGCAGGCGGAAUGCGAGGUGUAGCGGUGAAAUGCGUAGAUAUCACGCAGAAUCCCGAUGGCGAAGGCAGCCUGACAAGCCAUGACUGACGCUGAUGCACGAAAGCGUGGGGAUCAAACAGGAUUAGAUACCCCUGUAGUC